Molecule: non-coding RNA, 129 nt
Organism: Picea glauca (white spruce)
Lineage: Eukaryota; Viridiplantae; Streptophyta; Pinopsida; Pinales; Pinaceae
Source: Rfam
UCUUGUGUGCAUUCCUACAGCAUAGCAUCAAUGCAUUGAAUCCCAUUAGAACUCUACAGUUAAGUGCACUCAGGCUAGAGUAGUACUGGGAUGGGUGACCACCCUGGAAGUCUUGGUGUUUUACAUGCC